ACGCUUUUUCUGCAGUCUUUUUUGUCAACAUUUCUGAAGUCCAGAUCCUUCUGGUGUGGAACAGCACCAGAACUCUACCUCAGAAGCUGACGUGGUCCCCUGAGCAAGCUCUAACACUCUUCUUCCACCCACGGGUUCGUUCUCCUCAGAGAAGCAGAAAGAGACUCCCUAGAGAGUUCCAUGUUGCUUUCAUUUCACUGUCUCAGUCCAUUGCUGUUCAACACUAUGUUCUUCCUUAUCACUUAUCAUCCCAUUUACAACCUGAAGCCAGAAGAACUGUGCAAAACAACAUCUGCGCUGGCAAUUGUCUAACUCAGAUUUUUGAGGCACGGCACUUCUGGAAUUGAUUACCCUAUGAAGACAACAACAAUUAUGCUAAGCAGCCUUUUUGGAAUUACUGGGGAAAGGACAACAGCAGCGCUGAAUGUCUCUCGAGUGCAGCUCAUCCCUCUCUCCAAUAUUCUCCUUCACAGGCUGAAGUACCUUCACAUCACAGGCUGUCGCAAAACCAAUGCUUUGGUUCUGCUGCCAAAUUAUUUUCUUAUACAAUUCACUAUACUUCUCCUGCAUCCUCAUUUGUCUAAAACAGAGAUAAGGACCCUUAUCUCAACAUAAACUAACAUUACCAUGGAGGCUUUGUUCCCGUGUGCUCCUUCCUCCUGCCCCUGCUGUAGCACCUGUAGUAGCUCUGCUCCCCCCCAGGAGCCAUCAGUUGGGUUACGGCUCAACCCUUUAGCCACACCAAAAGCUGCUGUAUGUCUAGCACUAAAUUUCAAACCAACAUCCUACAAGGUACAAGCUAAAAGCAAGCGACUGGAACCUGUACCAGAUGAGCCAAAUUCCAGCCUAACUGACACCACCUAGCCCUAUGGCAGCAGCCCCACUGAGCAGUCUGCAUUGGGUCUUACUUGCCAGAGACUUCAGGGAUUAUUUUUAGGAGCUGACUUGUCAGCAUCCCCACCCCACCGCAGGAGCCGCCAGCCUCCUGUCCUUUCACAAGCUUUUAUGCCUGAAUGCAAUCAUUGCACCUCAUCAAACAGAUGAGCACCAUGACUGAUACGCGUAUCUAUUAAAAGCAUGUUAAAAUGGCUACGUGAAAUAUCCUAGUAAGUAAUUACCCCUAUUAAACAUAUAAUCUUUCUUAAUUAUGUUUGAAAAUCUCAGUCUGUUCUUAAACAGAUAAAUGAAAAGUAAAAAUGAGGAAAAAGCAAGAUAUACAACAGCAAAUUUAAGUUCAAUUUAUUCUAUUUAGGUCAUGGUAAUGCCUAGUAUUUGUAUACACAGCUACUACAGUUUUCUUUUUGCAUUAAUUCAUGACAUUAGCAAAAUAUUUUUUUAAACAGUAUCUCAAAAGUUGCUUAUGAGCUUUGUCUUAGAGAAAACACAAUUUUUCUUCAAAGUUAUGAAAUGGGAAGGAGGGAAAUAAUACGUUGCUUUCCUGUUAUUUUGACAUCACUUAGAAGUUCAGUAAGCUUUACAAAACUGUAAAGCAUGACCAACAGUUAGGAAUUGUACUUGCAUUCUGAGACCAUAAAUGGUAAAUAAUUAUAUAUUAUCUUUUACUGAAGACAGUUCUAAUCUACAGAUUACUGAAAAGUGAUAAAUGAGGAAGAGAGACGCAAGCUUUCAAUUCUAAGCAUUUACUUCAAUAGGCAGCUGAUGAGGACAGAACUAGGAUCUAAUGUGCAGGAUAUGCACAACUGUAAUGGAGAAAAGCAACUCAUCCUGAGAAAAGUCUAAGAUGGCAUCUGGUGCUGCCAUUUCAAACAUGUCUUUUGGGAACUGAAAGCCUGAAGGAUAAAAUAAGAGAGAAAGAAUACUUUAAAAAAAUAAAAAAAAAAAAGAGAGAGAAAACUUAUUCCACAUUAAAGUCAGCAUUUUUUGUGCAUUUCAAAAGCAAUAGCAUGGUACCUGUCUCUAAAAUUAUAAGAAUGUCUAAUCCAAUGUGUGCUUCUUAGACUCUUGGUGGUACUACAGCCCACUGUGACAUGAAAAUAUUAAAUGGUGAUGAUGGGGUAAUAAAGCUUUUCCCAGAAUGAUUUUGGAGCAGUCAUAUUUCUCAUGAGCAAAGAAGCCAAAAAGGACAAAAUGGUACAUCCUAAGCAUCAGUGCAGAUUUAUACCUCAGAACCUUUAAGCUCACCUAGUAAAUAUCUAUCAGAUUGCAGAUACACCAAUUGAUUCAAGUCUGAUUACUGUCUGGUCCAGUUUUGUAAGAAUAAUACAGAAUCACACAGAAUCACAGAAUUUCUAGGUUGGAAGAGACCUCAAGAUCAUUGAGUCCAAAAGUAAAGAAGUAAAGAAGAGACAGUAAAGAAGAGACUUCAUAUUUCAGAGAAAUAAAGAAAAUACAUUCUUGUUUAAGGAAUGCUUUCCCAAAGCAAAGAAAGGGACA
This is a long non-coding RNA of Anas platyrhynchos (mallard), 2394 nucleotides long. RefSeq lists it as uncharacterized. The record is from RefSeq and is a predicted model, not a curated record. Lineage: Eukaryota; Metazoa; Chordata; Aves; Anseriformes; Anatidae.